UUAGUUCUUCCUUUUCUUCUUAAUGAUCAAAUUCCAUUACGUGUUUCCAGAUCCCUAUUACGAAAAUUGAUUUCACCACUCACGAGUAUGCGCAGCGAAGGAAUGAAACUUUCACAGCAGGCAUGUGCUUUUUUCUUGGUUUUACUAGUGAGCAGCAAGUAUUGGGAAUUCUUUUUGGUUUCCUUGCUCUUAUGUUUCUCUCGGAAUUUAUUACAGCAAA
Molecule: unclassified non-coding RNA, 220 nt
Filed under: Hevea brasiliensis (rubber tree)
Lineage: Eukaryota; Viridiplantae; Streptophyta; Magnoliopsida; Malpighiales; Euphorbiaceae
Source: RNAcentral